GGGGGCAACCCUGGCGGCGAGCGGCGAACGGGUGAGUAAUACAUCGGAACGUACCCAGGAGUGGGGGAUAACACAUCGAAAGAUGUGCUAAUACCGCAUACGCCCUGAGGGGGAAAGCGGGGGAUCGCAAGACCUCGCGCUGUUGGAGCGGCCGAUGUCGGAUUAGCUAGUUGGUAGGGUAAAGGCCUACCAAGGCGACGAUCCGUAGCUGGUCUGAGAGGAUGAUCAGCCACACUGGGACUGAGACACGGCCCAGACUCCUACGGGAGGCAGCAGUGGGGAAUUUUGGACAAUGGGGGCAACCCUGAUCCAGCCAUUCCGCGUGAGUGAAGAAGGCCUUCGGGUUGUAAAGCUCUUUCGGCAGGAACGAAACGGCGGGCUCUAACAUGGCCUGUCAAUGACGGUACCUGAAGAAGAAGCACCGGCUAACUACGUGCCAGCAGCCGCGGUAAUACGUAGGGUGCGAGCGUUAAUCGGAAUUACUGGGCGUAAAGCGUGCGCAGGCGGUUUUGUAAGACAGCUGUGAAAUCCCCGGGCUUAACCUGGGAACUGCGGUUGUGACUGCAAGACUAGAGUGCGGCAGAGGGGGGUGGAAUUCCACGUGUAGCAGUGAAAUGCGUAGAGAUGUGGAGGAACACCGAUGGCGAAGGCAGCCCCCUGGGUUGACACUGACGCUCAUGCACGAAAGCGUGGGUAGCAAACAGGAUUAGAUACCCUGGUAGUCCACGCCCUAAACGAUGCCAACUAGGUGUUGGGGAAGGAGACUUCCUUAGUACCGUAGCUAACGCGUGAAGUUGGCCGCCUGGGGAGUACGGUCGCAAGAUUAAAACUCAAAGGAAUUGACGGGGACCCGCACAAGCGGUGGAUGGAUGUGGAUUAAUUCGAUGC
This 888-nucleotide ribosomal RNA is filed under the name uncultured bacterium. RNAcentral's name for it is "bacterial SSU rRNA". It matches the Rfam family "Bacterial small subunit ribosomal RNA", at positions 75 to 957 of the family's 1533-position model. The record is from RNAcentral.